RNAcentral lists this long non-coding RNA (2073 nucleotides) under Bos taurus (domestic cattle). Its description in RNAcentral is "long non-coding RNA NONBTAT000296". Lineage: Eukaryota; Metazoa; Chordata; Mammalia; Artiodactyla; Bovidae. The record is from RNAcentral.
AGAAUCAGGUCAAGAAUUCAUUGGUUUUAUUCAAUUAGAGUUUAUUCUAAAAUAAGCCAUAUUACUCAUGCUUUCUUAUUUAUUUCUGAUAAAUUUGGCCUGAAUAGUGAUUUUUAUAUAUAAAAGGAAAUAUUUACACAAAAACUUGCACAGCAAGAACACAGUAAGAUAUAUUGAUGCAUUUAUUUUCUUUGAUGACCAGUAAUUUUCCUAAGGAAGAUUUUAACUUAAUAGCCAAUAAAUUGUUUAAAAAGUUUUUAAAAAUACCCUCUCCGAUGUGUUCCACUUAUAUAGUCUUUAAAAGAAGAAGCUUAAAGACUUCCUUUUACCUAAUAGGGUAUUAAUCUAUAGCAGGGGUAAAAUGAACAAAAGCUGCAAAGGUAGAUUCCUUAAAAACAGAGCUAUUAACGUACAAAUAUGUCAACCAAAUAUUCCAGUUAUUCCAACUGGUAUAUUCUUGUUCAAAGUAUAUAAUCUCAUGAGACCCUACAUUAUAAAUUUUUGGAUAUUAAAGCUUCUUAAAUGAAGCCACUAAGGAAGUGAGACUUUUCUUCGUGGGCAGCAUAUUAAAUUAGGAUUUCCAGGUCAUGGUAAACCAGAUAUCUAAAAUAAUGUCCCAAUUUUAUUAUUUAUCAUAGGCAUUUACUACUAUGCAAUUGAUAGUCAUCAGUCCAUUUCAGUCAAAUCAGGUUUUUGUUUUGUUAUGUAGCCUAUAUUAGGCUAUGGAUUUUACAUUUAAAUAACAUAAGAUAAACAACUUGAUCAGAUUUUUAUGUCUUUUAAGGUCAACUAAAGAAAAAAACCAUUUUCCAUGCUUCCUGAUACUAAAAUAUAAUACUUGAGUUCUAUUUCAGUUCAGUCAUGUAAUAAAAAAGCCUGUUUGGAGACUAGUUCAUAUGGGCAAUGAAGUUAUUUUGAAAUAUUUCUGCUUUGUAUCUUUUCCAGAAGUUUAAAAUCACAGCUUAACAUUUUAUCACAUUUUUAACUUUUUAUUUUUUAUAAGUUGUAACUAUUGACAUAAAUCCAUGUCUGCAAAUUGUUUUCACUCAUUCUGUAGUUCAUACCAAAAUAUUUUAAACAUAUUCCACUUGUUAUUUUUUUGUCUUUAAUUUGAGGUUUUAUUUCUACUUUUGUUUUACUAAGGGAAAACUUUCUGAAAGACUGAGAUCAAAUUGGUUUAUACAUCAAGGGAUUGUUUUAUAAAAUUCUAUUGGACCACAAUGUUCUAUUUCUAACCUCUUAUCAAAUAAUUGCUAUUGAAAGAAUAUGUGCAUUUUCUUAUGUAUGCCUUAUAAAACUUACAUCAUUUUGCUUUUACGAGGUGCAUAAACUUCUAACACUUUUAAUGUGGGAUUCAGAAGACAAGGAAGCUUUCUUCUUUUUCCUCAAAAUCUUCUCUUUUUCUUCUCUACUCCUUCUAUUUUAAGGGUGUGUUUAUCUUACAUGGACCAGGUUUCAAUCCUUCAUUGUCAAAUAAAAAUUUCCAUUGAAAUAUUAAAUACUAGCUUUCUGCCAUGUUUCAGUAAGGUCAAAAGAAUAGCAAAUCUGAAAUUUUGCUGCUCAGAUAUUAUGGAGAAGAUAGAAAAGGAGACCCUUCGUGGACAAGGACACUGGUACUUUGGGCUUUAGCCAUAUUUUUUUUCUUUUAAACCACCAAUUAUAUAAUGAAAAGAUAACUUAUAACAUCAAACUUGUGAUUCUCUUCAAAUCACACUUGAAAGUACAGCCGUACUCCUUUCAUAUUUGGUUCAAACUGUAGUAUGGGUGGAAAAACCUAAAAAGAAUGGUAGUGUUUAUUUUUUAAUUUAUUUGGUACUGUAAAACACCUUUUCAGAAUGACUAAAUGCUGCAUAUGCAUUUUGGAAUUGUUAAUAUGUGAAAGGUAUUACAGAUUCAGCAAGAAAGGAAAUUUGUGCUUCCUUGUUGAACAUUAAAUUAUUUUACUUUGCAUUUUAUAAGAGUACAAAUUAAAACUGAGCCAUUGAACUGCAAUAAAUCAACAAUAGUGUCUCAUUUCAAGAAAUUUUUUGUACUGUACAUAGAUUUGUUCAAUAAAACAUUGUCCUUGUUGGU